GUGCGUGCUGGGCUGCUGUCGCGGUAUAAUGGUGCGUGCUGGGCUGGUAUCGCAGUGUAAAUUGCACAUAAUACAGAUUCAUAAACAGCACAAUCAUAAAUAUAAAUCUCUGAACUCUAUAAUGGUACUUAAAAUCUCCUCUCAGCCCUCCACUGUGUCACAGCACCCUAUUGGUGGGUCUUACACUAAUUCCAACGUGGCGAUACAUGGUGCUAGCACUCACUGUCUCCAUUACAGAUUUUAUAAAAUGUGUGUAUUUAUGAUAGCGCGGUUCCUUGGUCUGUAUUAUGUAUACAUUUCGGUCACUAUGGCGACAUAUUCCGGGUGUUUCCCCCAAUUCCCAUGUGUUAUUAUGGGGUAAGUUUGGAAUCCAGGCCAGAUCCCAUGUGGGGUUAAUGCCC
Non-coding RNA from Pelobates cultripes (western spadefoot toad), 401 nucleotides. The record is from the annotation of a GenBank genome assembly. Lineage: Eukaryota; Metazoa; Chordata; Amphibia; Anura; Pelobatidae.